GACGAACGCUGGCGGCGUGCUUAACACAUGCAAGUCGAACGGAAAGGCCCUGCUUUUGUGGGGUGCUCGAGUGGCGAACGGGUGAGUAACACGUGAGUAACCUGCCCUUGACUUUGGGAUAACUUCAGGAAACUGGGGCUAAUACCGGAUAGGAGCUCCUGCUGCAUGGUGGGGGUUGGAAAGUUUCGGCGGUUGGGGAUGUACUCGCGGCUUAUCAGCUUGUUGGUGGGGUAGUGGCUUACCAAGGCUUUGACGGGUAGCCGGCCUGAGAGGGUGACCGGCCACAUUGGGACUGAGAUACGGCCCAGACUCCUACGGGAGGCAGCAGUGGGGAAUAUUGCACAAUGGGCGGAAGCCUGAUGCAGCAACGCCUCGUGCGGGAUGACGGCCUUCGGGUUGUAAACCGCUUUCGCCUGUGACGAAGCGUGAGUGACGGUAAUGGGUAAAGAAGCACCGGCUAACUACGUG
Molecule: ribosomal RNA, 468 nt
Filed under: uncultured bacterium
Lineage: Bacteria
Description: partial 16S ribosomal RNA
Rfam family: Bacterial small subunit ribosomal RNA
Source: RNAcentral